GAAGUGACUGAUAUAAAUACACUAAGUAUUUUAAAAUUUAACAUAAAUCUAUAUUAUACAAGGGUCGGCCCGCCCUACGAGUUGAAAUUUGUUUUAAGAUUCAAGAAUUUAGUUUUGUUAUGUGUUACUUAUUAGUAUGCUGUGGUAUUGUUGUUUUUCGAUUAUUUUUGCUUUGGCAUUGUAUCAAAUUAACUAAUUGUCCAACUCAUAAUUAGAGAUGUACAAAUGAGGAUUUGUGAUAAAGUUUGAUGAUAAUACUAUUUUUUUUUUUAAUUUUUAUUCAUAGUGGAGUGUGCAUGUAUCAGAAAGAGGCCUAUAACAACUUUUAUGUUUUUGCGUAUGGAUUUUAAAUAUAUAUUAUUUUGUAUAAUGCAUACUUGCUCUACAACAUUUGCUUGUAGACUAGAAAAAUUGUUUUCUCUAUUUUUAAAAGAGAAAAUUUUUAGUUUUGAAUAUAACAUGGACAUAUGUAUUGACUAUAUAUAGAAGUUGGGUGUUAUUUUAAAAUGACAUAUGUAUAGAGGUUUUUCAACCAUUACUUCACUGGCACAAAACAUUUAUAACUGUAAAUACCUUCUUUUAAAAGCAAAAUUAAUAAAAGCGUGUACAACAAACGUAUUUUGAUAUAUAUUAUAUGCAUCAAGUUAUAAAGGUUGGAAGUAUUGCAAAACUGUUUGGAGCAAAGUUUUUAACUUUACGAUCUUC
This 705-nucleotide long non-coding RNA is filed under the name Brassica rapa (field mustard). Its description in RNAcentral is "long non-coding RNA (BRAP_LNC004817)". Lineage: Eukaryota; Viridiplantae; Streptophyta; Magnoliopsida; Brassicales; Brassicaceae. The record is from RNAcentral.